RNAcentral lists this ribosomal RNA (333 nucleotides) under uncultured eukaryote. RNAcentral describes it as "partial 18S ribosomal RNA". It matches the Rfam family "Eukaryotic small subunit ribosomal RNA", at positions 1470 to 1796 of the family's 1831-position model. The record is from RNAcentral.
CCCUUAGAUGUUCUGGGCCGCACGCGCGCUACACUGAUGCAUUCAACGAGUCUAAAACCUGCUCUGAUAGGGGUGGGUAAUCUUUUGAAUGUGCAUCGUGAUUGGGAUAGAUGAUUGCAAUUUUUCAUCUUCAACGAGGAAUGCCUAGUAAACGCAAGUCAUCAGCUCGCGCUGAUUACGUCCCUGCCCUUUGUACACACCGCCCGUCGCUACUACCGAUUGGAUGGCUUAGCGAGAAUUUUGGAUCGGAGCCCGGGUGGUCGGCAACGGUCGCCCGGGAGAUCUGAGAAAUCAUUCCAGCUUGGUCAUCUAGAGGAAGUAAAAGUCGUAACA